UACGGGGGGGGCAAGCGUUGUUCGGAAUUACUGGGCGUAAAGGGCUCGUAGGCGGCCAACUAAGUCGGAUGUGAAAUCCCCCGGCUCAACCGGGGAAGGGGCCUCGAAACGGGUCGCCUCGAGGCGAGGAGGGGGACCUGGAACGUCCGGUGGAGCGGUGAAAUGCGUUGAGAUCGGACGGAACACCAACGGCGAAAGCAAGGUCCUGGACUCGUACUGACGCUGAGGCGCGAAAGCCAGGGGAGCGAACGGG
RNAcentral lists this ribosomal RNA (253 nucleotides) under uncultured bacterium. RNAcentral's name for it is "partial 16S ribosomal RNA". It matches the Rfam family "Bacterial small subunit ribosomal RNA", at positions 524 to 776 of the family's 1533-position model. The record is from RNAcentral.